CUGCUGAUCUCACUCUCGACAUUGCUAACAAGAUGCAGAAUAUCAUCUGUGUGGAGACGAUGAUGCACCUCACUUGCACCAAUAUGCCCGUAGAGAAGAUUGACCAUGCUCUUCAGACCAUCAAGUCCAACGGCAUUCAGAAUGUUCUUGCCCUCCGAGGUGAUCCCCCUCACGGCCAGGACAAGUUUGUCCAGGUCGAAGGCGGCUUCUCCUGUGCCCUUGAUCUGGUAAAGCCAUUGCUCAUUCUGCCCUGUUUUUAUUUCUUAAUAUACAUAUGUUACCAACUUUUAAUUCCUAUUCUAGGUGAAACAUAUCAGAUCUAAAUAUGGUGACUACUUUGGCAUCACAGUUGCCGGUUAUCCAGGUGCUUUUCAUAGACAUAUAUACAUAUAUAAGAGGCUUGUUCAUGUGGCUUUUGAUUAUUAAUAGUUUGCUUUCUUUGCUCAGAGGCACAUCCCGAUGCCAUAGGAAAUGAUGGUGUAGCCACACCUGAAGCUUAUCAGAAUGAUCUUGCUUACUUAAAGAGAAAGGUUUUACUCUUUAACUCAUUACUUGAUUUGAAAAUAUUGUCUUAAUUCUAAUUUAUAUUGGUUAAUUUUUGUGCUAAAAUCUUCUUUACUACAUAGGUUGAUGCGGGAGCUGAUCUGAUUGUUACUCAACUGUUUUAUGAUACUGAUAUCUUUAUCAAAUUUGUCAAUGACUGUCGCCAAAUGGGAAUUAACUGUCCUAUAGUGCCGGGUAUUAUGCCCAUUAAUAACUACAAGGGUUUCUUGCGAAUGACUGGCUUUUGCAAAACUAAGGUAUGCGGUAUAACAUGAUAUUUUUGAGCAUUAAAUAGUAUCAAUUUAGUAAAAUUUAUUCAAAUAGUGCAUGUACUAGUUGGAUGUUUUUGCAUAAAGGAAAUGAAAGCAGCAUCAUUCUUCUCAAAAGGCUAAAAGAUACAAGAUUCUGAAGGCCUCUAAUUUGGAAGGGCAUCCGAAUUCAUUCUGAUGCACUCUUUGCUUGUUUUUUCUUGGCAACUGAUUAUUACAACUGCUUAUAAAGAGUGGCCACAAAAGCUAUUUUUGGUGGCAAUUUCUGUUAACAUUUUUAAAAUGUAACACCUGCAUGGCUCAUUGUAGAUACCAGCUGAGAUUACUGCUGCCUUAGAGGCUAUCAAGGACAACGAAGAAGCUGUCAAAGCCUAUGGAGUUCACCUUGGAACAGAAAUGUGCCGCAAGAUUUUAGCUCAUGGGAUUAAGACAUUGCACCUUUAUACAUUAAACAUGG
This 1269-nucleotide long non-coding RNA is filed under the name Gossypium barbadense (sea-island cotton). RNAcentral describes it as "long non-coding RNA (GBAR_LNC019943)". The record is from RNAcentral. Lineage: Eukaryota; Viridiplantae; Streptophyta; Magnoliopsida; Malvales; Malvaceae.